ACACUUCUUAGAGCCAUCACAAUAGGUCAGUGGGUUAAGGGCACUUUCUGUCAAGCCUGAAUCCUAUCCCUCUAACCUACAUGAAGGAAGGCAAGAACCCGGACUCCUACAACUUGACCUCUGACCUCCACCCUGUGUCAUGGUACACAUGUACCUUGAGAGCCUCGUGAAAUGGAGCCGGGCUCUAUCACCCCAACUAAGAGAUGCUUUUUGUAGCUGCCCCAAGUGUCCAGAGGUACUGCAGUCAGCUCUUCUAUCCAGUGAGGGGAGUCUGAUAGAGACGCUCAACUGCUUGGCUUUGACCUGAGGUUCAUCCCAGCAGGGCCAGCUGUGACAUGAAACACUGAGGCUGCGGGGUCAACCAGACCGUUCAGGGGGAACAGAGGAGCCGGAGGAUUGCCUGACUGAAGGUGGCCCACCUUGCCGCUCUGCUCAACGGAGGUUCACCACCUGACUUCCCUGAAGCUUGUCUCUGCUACACUGCUCACCUCCUUGAUC
Molecule: long non-coding RNA, 498 nt
Organism: Mus musculus (house mouse)
Lineage: Eukaryota; Metazoa; Chordata; Mammalia; Rodentia; Muridae
Product: predicted gene, 39877
Exons: 3
Source: RefSeq, a predicted model, not a curated record